RNAcentral lists this long non-coding RNA (662 nucleotides) under Homo sapiens (human). RNAcentral describes it as "HSALNT0117233". Lineage: Eukaryota; Metazoa; Chordata; Mammalia; Primates; Hominidae. The record is from RNAcentral.
GUGACAGCCUCAGGAGGCCCUGACGGCAUGUACCCCAGGUACUUGGGGCGAAGUUUGCUUUUACACAUUUUAGGGAGACAUAAGACAUCAGUCCGCAGGUGUAAGGUGUACAUUGGUUCCAUCUGGAAAGGCGGGAAAAUACAAAGGUGGGGGCCUUCCAGGUUAUAGGUAGACAGGAGACAAAGGAUUGCAUUGUUUUGAGUCUUUGAUGAGCCUUUCGGUGAAUACACAAUUUACUUGUGAGUGGGGGUAGAGGAAUAGUCACUUAGACCUUAGUGUGGCUCAGUGAAGCUGCAUUUUACAUAGGGCAGAGGAAGCAAUCAUAUAGGCAUUUGUCUCAGGUGAGCUGGGGGAUGACUUCCUGUCCCACACCUGGGAAGAUCAGCUAGCAACUACAUUGCCAGGGAGAAAUUCAGCAGAACUCUUUCAGGGUAAAGAUCUUGAGGCCCAUGAGGAAUUUCCUUGUGGACAAAUUAUGAGGGAGGUCUGUAUGUAGCUUUUUUCUCUUUGUAGCCACCUUAUUUAGGAAUAAAAUGGGAGGCAGGUUUGCCUGAGGCAGUUCCCAGCUUGGCUUUUCCCUUUGGCUUAGUGAGUUUGGGGUCCUGAGAUUUAUUUUCCUUUCAUGAUAGAAACAAAAGUUAAGUUCCCACAGCAUGUUUCUG